AUGGUAGGAUAGAGGCCUACCAUGGUGGUAACGGGUAACGGGGUGUUAGGGCACGACACCGGAGAGGGAGCCUGAGAAACGGCUACCACAUCCAAGGAUGGCAGCAGGCGCGCAAAUUACCCAAUCCCGACACGGGGAGGUAGUGACAAUAAAUAACAAUACGGGGUUCUUUAGGAUCUCGUAAUUGGAAUGAGUACAAUUUAAAUCUCUUAACGAGGAACAAUUGGAGGGCAAGUCUGGUGCCAGCAGCCGCGGUAAUUCCAGCUCCAAUAGCGUAUAUNAAAGUUGUUGCAGUUAAAAAGCUCGUAGUUGAAUUUCGGGGUCAGUAGGUCGGUCGUGCCACUGGUAUGAACUGGUUUUACUGAUUCCUCCCUCUUGAAGAACUGUAAUGCCAUUAAUUUGGUGUUGCAGGGAAUCAGGACUGUUACUUUGAAAAAAUUAGAGUGUUUAAAGCAGGCUUUAGCUUGAAUACAUUAGCAUGGAAUAAUGAAAUAGGACGUUUGAUCCUAUUUUGUUGGUUUCUAGGAUUGACGUAAUGAUUAAUAGGGAUAGUUGGGGGCAUUAGUAUUCAAUUGUCAGAGGUGAAAUUCUUGGAUUUAUUGAAGACUAACUACUGCGAAAGCAUUUGCCAAGGAUGUUUUCAUUAAUCAAGAACGAAAGUUAGGGGAUCGAAGACGAUCAGAUACCGUCGUAGUCUUAACCAUAAACUAUGCCGACUAGGGAUCGGAUGAUGUUAAUUUUUUAAUGACUCAUUCGGCGCCUUACGGGAAACCAAAGUGUUUGGG
This 785-nucleotide ribosomal RNA is filed under the name uncultured Glomus. RNAcentral describes it as "SSU rRNA". It matches the Rfam family "Eukaryotic small subunit ribosomal RNA", at positions 325 to 1111 of the family's 1831-position model. Lineage: Eukaryota; Fungi; Glomeromycota; Glomeromycetes; Glomerales; Glomeraceae. The record is from RNAcentral.